GGACAAUGGGCGGAAGCCUGAUCCAGCCAUGCCGCGUGAAGGAAUAAGGUCCUAUGGGUCGUAAACUUCUUUUGACGCAGAGCAAUAAGGGACACGCGUGUUCCGAAUGAGAGUAUGCGUCUAAUAAGCAUCGGCUAACUCCGUGCCAGCAGCCGCGGUAAUACGGAGGAUGCGAGCGUUAUCCGGAUUUAUUGGGUUUAAAGGGUGCGUAGGCUGUUGGAUAAGUCAGCGGUGAAAUCACCACGCUUAACGUGUAGUGUGCCGUUGAAACUGUCUGGCUUGAAUGCGCUCGUCGUGAGAGGAAUGUGUGGUGUAGCGGUGAAAUGCAUAGAUAUCACACAGAACACCGAUUGCGAAGGCAUCUCACGAGGGCGCUAUUGACGCUGAUGCACGAAAGCGCGGGUAUCGAACAGGAUUAGAUACCCUGGUAGUCCGCGCUGUAAACGAUGAUGACUAACCGUUGGUCUGGUAUGGAUCAGUGGUCAAGCGAAAGCGUUAAGUCAUCCACCUGGGGAGUAUGGCCGCAAGGCUGAAACUCAA
RNAcentral lists this ribosomal RNA (540 nucleotides) under Bacteroidetes bacterium oral taxon 281. Its description in RNAcentral is "bacterial SSU rRNA". It matches the Rfam family "Bacterial small subunit ribosomal RNA", at positions 366 to 904 of the family's 1533-position model. Lineage: Bacteria; Pseudomonadati; Bacteroidota. The record is from RNAcentral.